RNAcentral lists this transfer RNA (72 nucleotides) under Apaloderma vittatum (bar-tailed trogon). It matches the Rfam family "tRNA". Rfam says of the family: Transfer RNA (tRNA) molecules are approximately 80 nucleotides in length. Their secondary structure includes four short double-helical elements and three loops (D, anti-codon, and T loops). The record is from Rfam by way of RNAcentral. Lineage: Eukaryota; Metazoa; Chordata; Aves; Trogoniformes; Trogonidae.
GGCCGAUUAUCUCAGUCAGUUGAGCGUAGCUCUAGCAACGCUAAGGUCGCGGGUUCGAUUCCCGUUCGGUCC